AUCUCGCGGCAGUUGAUUCCUAGAGGUGGAAUCCAUUAAACUGACAAAGCCCCAGUCCCGGGGUCCUAAUAGUCGGGACUAUUAGGUCAUCCUGGGUACUCAGGCCUCUAGACUCUAGACUGAGCUGCCUUGGUCACUCGGGGACAGUUGGCAGAGUAUUCGUGGUCAGGGAGGUGACCCGUGGUCAGCAGGAUCAGGCCACCCAGGGACAAAGGGUGCUUCUGCGCCAGGCCCUGGAGAAGGACAGAGCGGUGGGGACUCGGGGUCGGCCGCAGAUAGGGGAGUCACCACCUGCCGGCAAUCAGCCAUGACUGCCUUUGCACUGUCCAUGCUCUCAGCCCACCACCUCCUCCCCCUGCCAUUGCAGUGGCUAACACUGGAGACGAAGACCAAGACACCACCGCCUUUCUCCAGUACCACUCAAAUCAGCACAGGCAAGGACAAAGGCCUCAAUCCACAACUGCUGAAGAUGGACCCUGGCCACAUGGGAUGGUCAGACACGCCUGCCCAGCUAUCUGCAGGCGAAGAGGCUCAGAAGAGGUUUAGGGGCCUGAAGGACAUCUUGCUUCCAUGUCCAUAUGAGCAGGCUAUUUCUGCUCCAUGAGUCAAUUUUGCCAUAUAAAAUACUUAAUUUCAGCCAUUCCAGGGUGCUGUAGGAUGCACAGCUUCCCAUCAGCCCACCUGAACUCCAGCCAUGCCAUUUUAAUACCAGGAAUAAGGUCACCUGCUUUCCUGCCCCUUAGGAGGCCAGAGCCGUGGAAGCAAAAUGGCACUUCUGUUUACCUGUUAUAUUAUUUUUUUGUCAUCCUUAUAUGCUUGGAAAAUGCAAUUAUAUGAAAAAAGUUUAGUAAUUACAGACAUAACAGCAGAAAGUCCUCGGAACCAAGCUUACUCUCAUGGCCGAUUCUGCUCCACCUGGGACUCUGCUGUGCUGCGGGCAUCCUGUGGUCAGAAUCGCAGAGGGGCCAUCAGGGAGGGCCUUCCCAGAGGAUGGACCUCACGUGACUGCUGCGUGGGCAAGUGGCACUGGCCACUCUGCCUGGAGAGAGGAGUAAAUGCAGGGCUGGCCAGGCGACCUGCACACUCUGCUACUGGCCUUGUCCAUCUUUAGCCUCUAAUUUGAAAAUGAGGCUCACACAGACCAAGAGUAUCUUUGAGGGUUAGUACAGACCACAGAAAUGCCCUGGGCCUUUCACUCUCUCCUUUUGCAAAUUCCCAUGUGUGGAAAUGCCGUUUGGAUAAUGAGGGAGCCUGAAGGAGGUGGACACAUGAGCAGCCCCGACAGGCCUGGCUCCAUCCUCUGAAAAUGGGGCCCCGUGCCCGGCGUGUGGCCUUACUGGUUCAGUCUUCUUUACAGUGGUAGGUUUUGAGUGCCCAGAUGCCCAGUGCCUCCUACCUGGAACAGCACAGGAUCUGGCAGACCCCUGGAAGAAUCACAUGCACACUUAAAUAUUCAGGGAGUUCCCACCCAGCAGAGCUCGCCUCUGUGGCUACCUUGGUCUUGCUGCUGAUAUCUGCCAGAAAAGGCCUGGACUUGGAGACAAGCCUGGGAUUUACACUCAGUCCUUCCCCAUCUGGCUGGUUCCAUUUCCUUGGCUCUCACUGCUGGAAGUCUGUGCUCCUGAACAUCAAGUCAGAGGGGGCAUCUGAAUGCAGGGCAGGGAGCCUCAGAUGGGAAGAAGUCAGAGGAACCAGAAUGUGUCAGAAAAUGCCAAGUCAUGUGCCUGAGCUCAAAAGUCAGCUGGGCCACAGGCUGGCUGUGUGAUCUUGGGCAAGUUCAACCAGCUUCUUUAUACCUCUUUUCUUGCCUCAAAAUGAUAAGAGAAACCACUUCACUAAUACACUGAGGGCUGCUAUUAAGUUCUAUGUACAAAGACCCAUGGCAGGCCCUAUGCCCUUCGGUGAGCACUACUCCUCCUUACAAUUUACUGCCAGGAACACUGGGCAAGAGAACUUCAGUGGAGCAGGGAUUGGCUGAGCAUGAGCCAGGGUUGGGGGAAGUAAAUAAUGGGCUGUUGCCAGGGCCUGAGCCCAACAGAGAAAGGCUGUGUGCAGAGGGAGGGCCUCAGGUCCUGGGGCUCCUCCUGGCCUCUUUCGUCCCGACUACUUCACACCCUCCUCUAACAACGACUCCCACCUCCUUUUCCAGCUCUCCUUGAUCCUGCUCAGGGUGGCGCCUGCUGUCCCUGGUCCCUUGGUCCCCACCUGCCUCAGUGCCCCCCAGUCACAUCUGCUGUUUCUGCCAUGGGUCAGCAGACAGGGUAGGGGUGACUGGUGGUGCAGAAGAAACCAUCUGAGAGGGGGACCCCAACACGGACAGGGCACAGACGGGGCUUCCACCAAUCUCAGUGGAUGAAGAUUCUGUCCCUGCCAUCCCCGCAUUCUCUCCCUGGUCUCAGAGGCCCUCCUGGGUCUCCAGUUGUCCUCUCUCCCACCUCCACACUUUCUUGUUCCAGUCCUGCUCUUGGAUUUCUUUAAUAAUUUUCCUACCUCCAAGAUCCCCUGAUGAUCAGUUUCUGCCUGGGGUCACCAGGCGACUGACCAUGGUGGGGAUGGUGACUUGAGACUCCUGGACCACAGUGCAGGUGACAUAUGCAACCUACAGAGUGAAAAGGAACAGUGUCACUGCUGGGUCAUUUUGAAGAUGAGGCUUAGGUAAUGGAUUAAAGACUUAAAUGUUAGACCUAAAACCAUAAAAACCCUAGAAGAAAACCUAGGCAAUACCAUUCAGGCCAUAGGCAUGGGCGAGGACUUCAUGACUAAAACACCAAAAGCAAUGGCAACAAAAGCCAAAAUUGACAAAUGGCAUCUAAUUAAACUAAAGAGCUUCUGCACAGCAAAAGAAACUACCAUCAGAAUGAACAGGCAACCUACAGAAUGGGAGAAAAUUUUUGCAAUCUACCCAUCUGACAAAGGGCUAAUAUCCAGAAUCUGCAAAGAACUUAAACAAAUUUACAAGAAAAAAUCAAACAACUCCAUCAAUAAGUGGGCAAAGGAUAUGAACAGACACUUCUCGAAAGAAGACAUUUAUGCAACCAAAAGACACAUGAAAGAAUGUUCAUCAUCACUGGCCAUCAGAGAAAUGCAAAUCAAAACCACCAUGAGAUACUAUCUCACACCAGUUAGAAUGGCAAUCAUUAAAAAGUCAGGAAACAACAGGUGCUGGAAAGGAUAUGGAGAAAUAGGAACACUUUUACACUGUUGGUGGGACUGUAAACUAGUUCAACCAUUGUGGAAGACAGUGUGGCGAUUCCUCAAGGAUCUAGAACUAGAAAUACCAUUUGAUCCAGCGAUCCCAUUACUGGGUAUAUACCCAAAGGAUUAUAAAUCAUGCUGCUAUAAAGACACAUGCACACGUAAGUUUAUUUUGGCACUACUCACAAUAGCAAAGACUUGGAACCAACCCAAAUGUCCGUCAAUGAUAGACUGGAUUAAGAAAAUGUGGCACAUGUACACCAUAGAAUACUAUGCAGCCAUAAAAAGAAUGAGUUCAUGUCCUUUGUAGGGACAUGGAUGAAGCUGGAAACUAUCAUUCUGAGCAAACUAUCACAAGGACAGAAAACCAAACACCACAUGUUCUCACUCAUAGGUGGGAAUUGAACAAUGGGAACACUUGGACACAGGGUGGGGAACAUCACACACUGGGGCCUGUCAUGGGGUGAGGGGAGGGGGGAGGGAUAGCAUUAGGAGAUAUACCUAAUGUAAAUGACGAGUUAAUGGGUGCAGCACACCAACAUGGCACAUGUAUACAUAUGUAACAAACCUGCACGUUGUGCACAUGUACCCGAGAACUUAAAGU
This 3799-nucleotide long non-coding RNA is filed under the name Homo sapiens (human). RNAcentral's name for it is "non-protein coding lnc-C20orf196-6:1". Lineage: Eukaryota; Metazoa; Chordata; Mammalia; Primates; Hominidae. The record is from RNAcentral.